GGGCAGAGGGCGCAGCCAGUCCGGGGCCCCCUAGCUCAUCUCCCCAUCUCACCCGCCGGCCUGGAGGGCCGUGGGGGAGCGCGCCGCGCUCUGCGUCUCUUCGAGCUCUUUCUGCCGGGCCGGAAUGCAGGAGUCACAAAUUGAUUCAAAUAGGUUUACAAAUUUAAAAAAGAAGCUUGACAACCACUUAACCUGUUAAAGGAUACUACAGGAGUGGCAGAGAAUUCCUCAAUUCUUCUGCUUCUGUGCUGCCAGGGCUAAAAGCUGCUUGCAUUGUAAAUAACCAGGAAAAAGGAACAGAUUUCCAGGUGGUUGAUGAUGUGUGGUUGAGAAAAGAGCCUCAAGAAGUUCCAGAGGUGGAGGCUUUAAUGGAAUUUUUCCCAGAGUAAAUUUCUUGGAUUGAAAUUGUUCCAGUUCUUCUACUGUUAGUUUAUCUCUGGGUGUGAAUAACACAUUAUCUGUUGCAAUGAUGCUGCUUGAGGCUGACAGAGAAGUGGAUAUGCUGCUAUUUCCAAAAGUGUCACUGGAUGGCUUAGAAAAAGCAGUGUGAGAAUGUGAGCCCGGACUACCAAAACCAGCCACAGAACUGCCACCUCCAAAGGCUGGGGCCACUGGAGCUCUGACAGGACCUGUUGCCAAGGAAGCUGGAAGUCCUGAAAAUCCAGGUGAUCCAAAACUGGAAGCUGCAGGGCUUUUGAAUGAAAAUGAUGCAGCCGAUGUGACUUCAGGCUUCCCAAAUCCAAAAGCUGGAGCAGAAGUAGAGAUACCUGAACUGGUAGAGGCUGCAGCUCCAAAUGCUGGGGAACUCCCAAAACCAGCAGGGCUUCCAGAAGAGGCAGCAGCAAAUCCAGAGUUUGUUUUAAAACUAAAGUUCUGAGCAUUAUCACUGCUGCUGUUAUUGACUGGAAAGCCUACAAACAACAACAACAACAAAAAAAACAACAAAAA
Homo sapiens (human) is the source of this 948-nucleotide long non-coding RNA. Lineage: Eukaryota; Metazoa; Chordata; Mammalia; Primates; Hominidae. The record is from Ensembl.